RNAcentral lists this long non-coding RNA (1907 nucleotides) under Daucus carota (carrot). RNAcentral's name for it is "long non-coding RNA (DCAR_LNC006484)". The record is from RNAcentral. Lineage: Eukaryota; Viridiplantae; Streptophyta; Magnoliopsida; Apiales; Apiaceae.
AAUAAAAGACAGAUUAAUUUAAAAUCACUUUAAAAUAAAAACAGAUUAAUUUAAAAUGAAUAAUGCAAGCAACUGAAAAUUCUUAUAAUUGUAGCCGAAGCCUGCAUUUGAACUGAAGAAAUAAACACUCCGUAAUUCAUAACAAUAGAAAAUUGCAUAUCAGAGAUAGCCACAACCUCUUUAUGCAGAAUCUGGUCAUUCGUAUGACCAAGACAGUUGCAAUAUACAGUGGUGUGCUACCAAUUUUAGUUCAGAGAGCAUCCCAGUGGCAUUGGUUUCUGGGGCUGAGCAAGUCACUUCGGCUUGUUCAUUUCAGCAAACUUGGAUCAGGGACACACUGCACCACUUUCGGCAGCCCUGACAGAACUACCUUGAAUUUGGAAAUAUAAAUUUAUCAGUGAUAAGCCUAGCAAAAGAACAUCUCAGUUUGAACCAGUAACAAUGCCUAUGGUGGACCUGUUAGUUGAGCACAGAUAGUCAUAACAGAAAUUUCACAGCACUGACAGGGGAGAAACAUAGAACUAUUAUCAGCUAAAUACAUCUAGAAAUCCAAUUAGGUAUCUACAUAUAUAACCAAAUUUAUAAUAUUUUGGAUGACGUCAAGAAAAAAAAUGCAUACUAAGAUAAAUAUAAUUAAACAAUAGUCCUUUCAGAAAACAGAUAAAUUCAACAACAGUAAUAUUACAAUAUGUAGGGCUGAGCAAAAAACCGAUUUGAAACCGAAACCGAACCGAAACCGGGGAAAACCGGAGAAAACCGAUCCGAAUAUAACCGAUCCGAAACCGAAACCGAAAAAUAAAAAACCGAACCGAUUUAAAUGGUUCGGUUCCGGUUAUACCUUCCAACCGAACCGAUAAAAACCGAACCGAACCGAUUAUUAAAAUAAUAAUUAAAUAAUAAAUAUUAUAUAUAUUUAUUAAUAAUAAAUAUCUAAUUUAUUUCGAAUUUGAAAAUUAAAAAAGCUAUUCAAGUUAUAAGUUCACAUAAUAUACAAAAACUACAAAUUAUAAUCUCCAGACUCUCCACGUAACUUUCUCAAAGUCUUUUACAUAGAUAAUAAUAUACUCUGUGAGUUAUUACUUGCAUAUCUUGACAUAAUUAUAUCAAGCAGAGAGGUAGCCUCUAAACCUUUUUAAUUAGCUUCAUCAAGCUCAAGCUUUUAUACUCUUAUAUUUUAUUUUUCAGCUGCUUUGUUUUAGUUACUGGAACACUCUAUCCAGGACUCUGUUUCUUAGAUGUUAAUAAGGCAAUUGUCACCGGAAAAUAAAUACUCUAACACCAGACUAUGCUCACUGCUUACCAUAAUCUUUUGAACAUUAUAUAAAAUAUUAUUAUUUUAUUAAAUUCUAAUUUUAUAUUAAUUAUUAUGUCUAAAUUACGCGCAUUAAUUUGUCUCAUACAUAUAUUAUUUUUCAUUCUUAUAUUUGUCGGUUUUGUAACCGAAACCGAACCGAUUAUAACCGAACACUCAUGGCAAAGACUAACUACUUGUGGAAAAAAUUCAAGUAAUAAGCGUGUCAAGAUAUCAAUCAUGUCAUCUUGUGUAGACACGUAAUAAUUAUCAUAAAAGACACCAAAGAGAGAAUCUAUCAAGAUUAUAUGUUAGACCAUGUUUCCCUCUGUAACUAAAAUUAUAAUCAAGUUAGCGAUGAAUAAUAGGUCUCUAUGAAAAUCCUAACCAAUCAAGACUAAUCUAAGUGAUGUUUUUAUAUAAAUCUCAAUUUAAUUCUUCGUCAAUUUCAAAGUCAGCCGAAAGCACUGAAAUCAUAUAGAGAGGCAUGAAACAUAAUCUCUACAAUUCCAUACUCUACUGCAACAGAGAUGUCUGGUGGUUUAAAGAUAGGCAUAACAAAAUUCUCACAGCCCAGACAGGGAAGAAACAUACCAUAAGUAUACAUGCCACNNNN